GGUCUCUCCUCUUUGGCUAAUGCCAGUGACCACCCUGUAAUGAGGGGACAGGUUGCAUCUUGCUUUUGAAAUCUGGGGGAUUAGAAUCAUUUCCGUAACAUGGGCAGCUUGACCUCCCUGUAACUAGGGUUUGAGUCUCCGAGGCCCUUUGGGUCUCCAUUAGCUGCUUAGUGAGUGUGACUGCCCUGCAAUCAGGGUGCAAGUCACCUCCCCCUAAAUGUGGGGGGGCAUUGAGCUCUUUGUUAAACUGAGCAAUGUGACCGCCCUGUAACUAGGGCCCGGGUCUCUGCCCACUUGCUCAUUUGGCUUUACGCCGUGCUCUGCCCCACUAGUCAGCGUGACAACCCUGUAAUUAGGGUCUAUGUCACAAGUUACUUUUAAAUGGGACAUAUCGAGCUCUUUGGUACUUUGACAGCUGGACCUUCCUGUAAUUCAGGUUAUGGUCUCUCCUAUUUGGCUAAUGCCAGCGACCACCCUGUACUGAGGGGACAGGUUGCAUCUCGCUUUUGUAAUCUGGCGGAUUAGAAUCAUUUCCGUAACAUGGGCAGGUUGACCUCCCUGUAACUAGGGUUCGGUCUCCGAGGCCCUUUGGGUCUCUUGGCCUCGUGCUGUCUUCACAGCGUGCUGCGAAGGACCGACUUGUCAUCAGGGAUCGGGUCUUUGCUCUCUAGUCUCUUGGCACUAGGCCAAAUGCAGCCACUGCCCCGAAUGAGCACCCUGUAAACAGGGUACAGGUCUCAUCAGCUACUAUUUAUGGUGCCCCCAUGAGACUGUGUCCAGAGUUCCGGCCCUUUAAGCAGCGCUUGCAACGUGCCUGGAAUUCUGCAGCCAAGUCUCCUGCUUUCUACUCCCUUCUUGGACUCUUGGAGACCUGACAUGCUAUUGGUGGCAUCAUGAAGCACAAGUGGAGAAGAAGGAAGUGUCAGGAAUGCCACAGACAGAGGAGAAAAGAAGAUGGAGGAAAAGGAAAGGAACUCUGGGCACAGUACCCUCCCUCAAAUCAGCCUCAGGUCAUGUAAUUAGACUGUAUGGGAAUCUCGAGCCUUUUAAUACCUUGAGCAGCGUGACCGCCCUGUAAGCUGGGUCCCGGUCUGUCCCCUUUGGACAUUCUGCUCCGUCAUCUGGCUAGUGUGAGUGACUGCCCUGUAAUCAGGGUGCCAGUCACCUCCCCCUAAAUGUGGAGGGGCAUUAAGCUCUUUCAUUAAUUGAGCAUUGUGACCGGCCUGUAACUAGGGCCCGGGUCUCUGCCCACUUGCUCAUUUGGCAUUACGCCGUGCUCUGCCCCACUAGUCAGCGUGACAACCCUGUAAUUAGGGUCCAUGUCACAAGGCUCUCCUGAAUGGGACAUAUCGAGCUCUUUGGUACUUUCACAGCUGGACCUUCCUGUAAUUCAGGUUAUGGUCUCUCCUCUUUGGCUAAUGCCAGUGACCACCCUGUAAUGAGGGGACAGGUUGCAUCUCGCUUUUGAAAUCUGGGGGAUUAGAAUCAUUUCCAUAACAUGGGCAGCUUGACCUCCCUGUAACUAGGGUUUGAGUCUCCGAGGCCCUUUGGGUCUCCAUUAGCUGCUUAGUGAGUGUGACUGCCCUGCAAUCAGGGUGCAAGUCACCUCCCCCUAAAUGUGGGGGGGCAUUGAGCUCUUUGUUAAACUGAGCAAUAUGACCGCCCUGUAACUAGGGCCCGGGUCUCUGCCCACUUGCUCAUUUGGCUUUACGCCGUGCUCUGCCCCACUAGUCAGCGUGACAACCCUGUAAUUAGGGUCUAUGUCACAAGUUACUUUUAAAUGGGACAUAUCGAGCUCUUUGGUACUUUGACAGCUGGACCUUCCUGUAAUUCAGGUUAUGGUCUCUCCUAUUUGGCUAAUGCCAGUGACCACCCUGUAAUGAGGGGACAGGUUGCAUCUCGCUUUUGUAAUCUGGCGGAUUAGAAUCAUUUCCGUAACAUGGGCAGGUUGACCUCCCUGUAACUAGGGUUUGGUCUCCGAGGCCCUUUGGGUCUCUUGGCCUCGUGCUGUCUUCACAGCGUGCUGCGAAGGACCGCCCUGUCAUCAGGGAUCGGGUCUUUGCCCUCUAGUCUCUUGGCACUAGGCCAAAUGCAGCCACUGCCCCGAAUGAGCACCCUGUAAACAGGGUACAGGUCUCAUCAGCUACUAUUUAUGGUGCCCCCAUGAGACUGUGUCCAGAGUUCCGGCCCUUUAAGCAGCGCUUGCAACGUGCCUGGAAUUCUGCAGCCAAGUCUCCUGCUUUCUACUCCCUUCUUGGACUCUUGGAGACCUGACAUGCUAUUGGUGGCAUCAUGAAGCACAAGUGGAGAAGAAGGAAGUGUCAGGAAUGCCACAGACAGAGGAGAAAAGAAGAUGGAGGAAAAGGAAAGGAACUCUGGGCACAGUACCCUCCCUCAAAUCAGCCUCAGGUCAUGUAAUUAGACUGUAUGGGAAUCUCGAGCCUUUUAAUACCUUGAGCAGCGUGACCGCCCUGUAAGCUGGGUCCCGGUCUGUCCCCUAUGGACAUUCUGCUCCGUCAUCUGGCUAGUGUGAGUGACUGCCCUGUAAUCAGGGUGCCAGUCACCUCCCCCUAA
Mauremys reevesii (Reeves's turtle) is the source of this 2574-nucleotide long non-coding RNA. RefSeq lists it as uncharacterized. The transcript has 3 exons. NCBI's taxonomy places the organism in Eukaryota, Metazoa, Chordata, Testudines, Geoemydidae. The record is from RefSeq and is a predicted model, not a curated record.